RNAcentral lists this long non-coding RNA (270 nucleotides) under Ananas comosus (pineapple). RNAcentral describes it as "long non-coding RNA (ACOM_LNC030444)". Lineage: Eukaryota; Viridiplantae; Streptophyta; Magnoliopsida; Poales; Bromeliaceae. The record is from RNAcentral.
UAUGAGGCCGGGGUUACUAUACUCUUAUGAGUAUAGAGUCCUUAUACUCAUAAAUUUUCCGCCGUUGGAUGAAGUGAUACGUGAUUAAGAUGAUAGUAAUUCUCGGUUAGGAUAAUAAUGGUCCCUUACGGUUAAAUGGAUGGUUGAUUGAACAGUAUGAUCUAACGAAUGAAAAUAGUCAAAGGAGUAGAUCUAAUUGCCAAAAACUUAUGAAUAUAAAAGGGUUUAUACUCAUAAGAGUAUAGUAGCUGGACUCUAUAUAUAUGUUAU